This 66-nucleotide transfer RNA is filed under the name Sisyphus schaefferi. RNAcentral describes it as "tRNA-Leu". The record is from RNAcentral. Lineage: Eukaryota; Metazoa; Arthropoda; Insecta; Coleoptera; Scarabaeidae.
UCUAUUAUGGCAGAUUAGUGCAGUGAAUUUAAGCUUCACAUAUAAAGUUUAAACCUUUUUUUAGAA